GGGGGGGGGGGGGGGGGGGGGGGGCGGGUGGGGGGGGGGGGGGGGGGGGAGGGGUGUGUGGGGUGUGCGGGGGGGGGGGGGGGGGGUAACAGGUGUGUGGGCAGCCCUUGACUGUGGGAUACGUUCUGGUAACUGGGGCAAAUACUGGCGAGGAGCUCCUGCCGCAUGGGGGGGGUGGGCACGGUUCGGCGGUUGGGGAGGGACUGGCGGCUUAUCAGCUUGUUGGUGGGGUAGUGGCUUACCACGGCUUUGAGGGGACUCCGACCUGAGAGUUGAACCGGCCACAAUGGUACUGAGAGAGGGCCCAGACUCCAACGGUAGGCAGCAGUGGGGAAUAUUGCGCAAUGGGCGGAAGCCUGAUGCAGCAACGCCGCGUGCGGGAUGAAGGCCGUCGGGGUGUAAACCGCUUUCGCCGGUGACGAAGCGUGAGUGACGGUAAUGGGUAAAGAAGCACCGGCUAACUACGUG
This 468-nucleotide ribosomal RNA is filed under the name uncultured bacterium. Its description in RNAcentral is "partial 16S ribosomal RNA". The stretch from base 48 to 468 matches the Rfam family "Bacterial small subunit ribosomal RNA", at positions 38 to 507 of the family's 1533-position model. The record is from RNAcentral.